Molecule: long non-coding RNA, 104 nt
Organism: Sinocyclocheilus anshuiensis
Lineage: Eukaryota; Metazoa; Chordata; Actinopteri; Cypriniformes; Cyprinidae
Exons: 3
Source: RefSeq, a predicted model, not a curated record
AAUACUUAAAUGCUUUUUAAAUGUGUUUUUUGGUUGUGGCACUGCAGUUUGCACCAAUUCUUUAGAAUGGCCCAUGUAUGUGUGUAAUAUAUAUAUAUACACAU